RNAcentral lists this unclassified non-coding RNA (371 nucleotides) under soil metagenome. RNAcentral's name for it is "partial contains 5.8S ribosomal RNA, internal transcribed spacer 2, and large subunit ribosomal RNA". The stretch from base 1 to 119 matches the Rfam family "5.8S ribosomal RNA", at positions 35 to 154 of the family's 154-position model. The record is from RNAcentral.
GAUGAAGAACGUAGCGAAACGCGAAAGGUAAUGCGAAUUGCAGAAUCAGUGAGUCAUCGAAUCUUUGAACGCACAUUGCGCCCUUUGGUAUUCCGAAGGGCAUGCCUGUUCGAGCGUCAUUAUCACCCCUCAAGCCCUCGGCUUGGUGUUGGACGGUUUGGUGGAGGCCCCCUCGGGGGCUCCUGCCCCUCCCAAAGACAAUGACGGCGGCCUCGUUGGACCCCCGGUACACUGAGUUCUUCACGGGACACGUAUCGGACACAUGGGUUUACGGGACACGGUCUGCCUCCCCUCAGGGAGAAUCUUUCUAAGGUUGACCUCGGAUCAGGUAGGGAUACCCGCUGAACUUAAGCAUAUCAAUAAGCGGAGGA